Molecule: transfer RNA, 68 nt
Filed under: Bos taurus (domestic cattle)
Lineage: Eukaryota; Metazoa; Chordata; Mammalia; Artiodactyla; Bovidae
Also listed under: 5 other names
Rfam family: tRNA
About the family: Transfer RNA (tRNA) molecules are approximately 80 nucleotides in length. Their secondary structure includes four short double-helical elements and three loops (D, anti-codon, and T loops).
Source: Rfam by way of RNAcentral
UCCCUGGUUGCUAAAGGUAAAGAACCUGCCUGCAAUACAGGAGACAUGGGUUCAAAUCCCCUAGAGAA